This 426-nucleotide ribosomal RNA is filed under the name uncultured Pseudomonadaceae bacterium. RNAcentral describes it as "bacterial SSU rRNA". It matches the Rfam family "Bacterial small subunit ribosomal RNA", at positions 356 to 774 of the family's 1533-position model. The record is from RNAcentral. Lineage: Bacteria; Pseudomonadati; Pseudomonadota; Gammaproteobacteria; Pseudomonadales; Pseudomonadaceae.
GGUGAAUAUUGGCCAAUGGGCGAAAGCUUGAUCCAGCCAUGCGGGGGGUGUGAAGAAGGUCUUGGGAUUGUAAAGACCUUAAAGUGGGGGGGAGGGGUUUCUGGCAAUAAUCCAGGAAUUUUGACGUUACGGACAGAAUAAGAACCGGCAAACUCCGUGCCAGCAGCCGCGGUAAUACGAAGGGUGCAAGCGUUAAUCGGAAUUACUGGGCGUAAAGCGCGCGUAGGUGGUUCGUUAAGUUGGAUGUGAAAGCCCCGGGCUCAACCUGGGAACUGCAUCCAAAACUGGCGAGCUAGAGUAUGGCAGAGGGUGGUGGAAUUUCCUGUGUAGCGGUGAAAUGCGUAGAUAUAGGAAGGAACACCAGUGGCGAAGGCGACCACCUGGGCUAAUACUGACACUGAGGUGCGAAAGCGUGGGGAGCAAACA